AUGACGUCAAGUCCUCAUGGCCUUUAUGUCUAGGGCUACACACGUGCUACAAUGGGUGGUACAAAGAGCAGCUAACUCGCGAGAGUAUGCAAAUACUCAAAAAGCCAUCCUCAGUUCGGAUUGGAGUCUGCAACUCGACUCCAUGAAGUUGGAAUCGCUAGUAAUCGCGGAUCAGCACGCCGCGGUGAAUACGUUCCCGGGCCUU
RNAcentral lists this ribosomal RNA (205 nucleotides) under uncultured Smithella sp. RNAcentral's name for it is "partial 16S ribosomal RNA". It matches the Rfam family "Bacterial small subunit ribosomal RNA", at positions 1179 to 1382 of the family's 1533-position model. The record is from RNAcentral. Lineage: Bacteria; Pseudomonadati; Thermodesulfobacteriota; Syntrophia; Syntrophales; Smithellaceae.